UGCUCAGGAACCCUGGGCUGGACAGCGAUGCUUCGCGCGGCCGGUGACUUUUAAGGCAUGUCUUGGAGGGAGGCAAAACACAUGCACAAACCCAGGCUGGCGGUGGAAGAGUUAAACAGGACGGAUCGUAUUGCUUCUAAUUGCAAUUUUCCUUCCAGGUUGUGGCCCCGAUUUUGAGGGGGAUUGGGGCCCUGUGGCUCUUCGCCCCUGGACUACCACUCCCAUUCUUCCGUACAGCCUGGGGAGUUCCGAGUAGUAGUCGUCGUUGUCGUCCAAAACACACACAAAGACACACACACAGACACACAAACACAUUUAAGGCCAAUAAGGAGAGGAUGAUGGCUCUUUCCCGCCUCGCAAAGGGUUAAAUAAUGCACGAUUAAUGCAGCAUUAUAAAGUGGCACUGAGCCAUUUUUAACGGUAUCAAUAGUCUUCUGAAAUGUAGGUGUUUGGUCGACCCUUUUUUCUCUGCAGAGAUACCCUUCUUCUACCCUUCUAGGGGAAAAAUAUUCCGGUCCCUCAGAGAUGACUCUCAGAGUUUGGGUUGAGAAAUACAGGAUCUGAAAUUCCACCACCACCCCCCAGUCCUGUGGGAGAAUGGCUUCCCUGAAACUCUAAAAAAGGGGAAGAACGCAAACUUCAACACAAAAGCUGUAGAUUUUUGCAACACUCUUAGACAGUGCAGGAAAUUCAAAGUUUGUUCCAGAAACGCAGGGUUUGCUUCCAAAAGGCAAGCUAUUUUCUCUGGCUUGUUCCUUCUCGUCCUGCGAUACCCACAGAAAACACUGGCCACGGAUUUCUCUUUCCGUGCCCAUAACGACUUGUGUAGUCAGGCGAACAUCCACGGACAUUUGGGAACACCACAGUGUUGCAAUACAAAUCAGACAUGUGACAUGGAUCCCUCAUUUCUGCUAAUGCGUGCAAUGCUAUCGCAAUAGCCUGACGGAGUCCUGGCCUCCUGGCCCUUAAGUGUCCCAGAACGUCAAAACACUGGAGGUCUCCGUACCGCACAGAGCAAGGGUUUAAGGUAGGCAAAGUCC
Molecule: long non-coding RNA, 1040 nt
Filed under: Pogona vitticeps (central bearded dragon)
Lineage: Eukaryota; Metazoa; Chordata; Lepidosauria; Squamata; Agamidae
Description: lncRNA (ENSPVIG00000014752.1)
Source: RNAcentral